GAUGAACGCUGGCGGCGUGCCUAAUACAUGCAAGUCGAGCGAACAGACGAGGAGCUUGCUCCUCUGACGUUAGCGGCGGACGGGUGAGUAACACGUGGAUAACCUACCUAUAAGACUGGGAUAACUUCGGGAAACCGGAGCUAAUACCGGAUAAUAUAUUGAACCGCAUGGUUCAAUAGUGAAAGACGGUUUUGCUGUCACUUAUAGAUGGAUCCGCGCCGCAUUAGCUAGUUGGUAAGGUAACGGCUUACCAAGGCAACGAUGCGUAGCCGACCUGAGAGGCGGGUCGGCCACACUGGAACUGAGACACGGUCCAGACUCCUACGGGAGGCAGCAGUAGGGAAUCUUCCGCAAUGGGCGAAAGCCUGACGGAGCAACGCCGCGUGAGUGAUGAAGGUCUUCGGAUCGUAAAACUCUGUUAUUAGGGAAGAACAAAUGUGUAAGUAACUAUGCACGUCUUGACGGUACCUAAUCAGAAAGCCACGGCUAACUACGUG
Molecule: ribosomal RNA, 497 nt
Filed under: uncultured bacterium
Lineage: Bacteria
Description: partial 16S ribosomal RNA
Rfam family: Bacterial small subunit ribosomal RNA
Source: RNAcentral